Molecule: ribosomal RNA, 400 nt
Filed under: uncultured bacterium
Lineage: Bacteria
Description: bacterial SSU rRNA
Rfam family: Bacterial small subunit ribosomal RNA
Source: RNAcentral
GGGGAAUAUUGGACAAUGGGCGCAAGCCUGAUCCAGCCAUGCCGCGUGAGUGAUGAAGGCCCUAGGGUUGUAAAGCUCUUUCACCGGUGAAGAUAAUGACGGUAACCGGAGAAGGAGCCCCGGCUAACUUCGUGCCAGCAGCCGCGGUAAUACGAAGGGGGCUAGCGUUGUUCGGAAUUACUGGGCGUAAAGCGCACGUAGGCGGAUAUUUAAGUCAGGGGUGAAAUCCCAGAGCUCAACUCUGGAACUGCCUUUGAUACUGGGUAUCUUGAGUAUGGAAGAGGUAAGUGGAAUUGCGAGUGUAGAGGUGAAAUUCGUAGAUAUUCGCAGGAACACCAGUGGCGAAGGCGGCUUACUGGUCCAUUACUGACGCUGAGGUGCGAAAGCGUGGGGAGCAAAC